This 858-nucleotide ribosomal RNA is filed under the name uncultured soil bacterium. RNAcentral's name for it is "bacterial SSU rRNA". It matches the Rfam family "Bacterial small subunit ribosomal RNA", at positions 93 to 951 of the family's 1533-position model. The record is from RNAcentral.
GCACGGCGCACGGGUGCGUAACACGCUGGGCUAAUCUGCCCUCUGAUGGGGAAUAACCCGCCGAAAGGCGGGCUAAUACCGCAUAACAUUCCUUGGAUUUCGGUCCGGGGACUCAAAGGCGUAAGUCGUCGGAGGAGGAGCCCGCGCACGAUUAGCUAGUUGGUAGGGUAAUGGCCUACCAAGGCUUUGAUCGUUAGCUGGUCUGAGAGGAUGGCCAGCCACACUGGAACUGAGACACGGUCCAGACUCCUACGGGAGGCAGCAGUGGGGAAUCUUGCACAAUGGGCGAAAGCCUGAUGCAGCGACGCCGCGUGGGGGAUGAAGCAUUUCGGUGUGUAAACCCCUUUCGAUCCGGACGAAUACCUCGCAAGAGGGGUGACGGUACGGAUAUAAGAAGCCCCGGCUAACUACGUGCCAGCAGCCGCGGUAAGACGUAGGGGGCCAGCGUUGUUCGGAAUUACUGGGUGUAAAGGGUUCGUAGGCGGUGUGGCAAGUUGGGAGUGAAAUCUCUGGGCUCAACCCAGAGGCUGCUUCCAAAACUGCUGUGCUUGAGUGUGAGAGAGGCGCGUGGAAUUGCAGGUGUAGCGGUGAAAUGCGUAGAUAUCUGCAGGAACACCCGUGGCGAAAGCGGCGCGCUGGAUCACUACUGACGCUGAGGAACGAAAGCUAGGGGAGCAAACAGGAUUAGAUACCCUGGUAGUCCUAGCCCUAAACGAUCAGGACUUGGGGUGCCACCCGUUCGGGUGUCGUCCCGGAGCUAACGCGUUAAGUCCUGCACCUGGGGAGUACGGUCGCAAGACUGAAACUCAAAGGAAUUGACGGGGGGCCCGCACAAGCGGUGGAACAUGUGGUUCAAUU